Oncorhynchus tshawytscha (Chinook salmon) is the source of this 1065-nucleotide long non-coding RNA. The record is from Ensembl. Lineage: Eukaryota; Metazoa; Chordata; Actinopteri; Salmoniformes; Salmonidae.
GAGAGGAACAGAACAAAACAAAACAAACAACGCGCUCAUCCACAACAUCGAUAAGUUCUAAUCUCAGAGGCCAGAGCAGUGUGAAUGGAAAAUUAGAAGGAAGUAGAAGGUGUAAUUCCAGAACACUGGAUCAAAGUGUGUGGCGGCCCCCAAAUAAAUAUGACAAAGCAGUAAAGGAUUGGUACACACCCUCUCUGAAAUGGAAGUCCUUUCAGCUUCUGAGGAUAAAACUCACAUCAGAAUCAAAACAACAUUGGGAAGACGUCGAAAUUACUGAAGCCAGUGAAGUGGAGAUGUCCAAGAGAAACCGAACUGGCAAAGGUCUACCCAAGCUCCCACCAAAAUAUUCCCCAAAGCACCAGAAAACCUGUGCCACCGCUACCAAGAAGCAAAAAGCUAAUACGCAGCACAAACCACCAAAUACAGAAUCUCAAAGCUGGGGGGAGAGACAUCCCAGACUGGGUGAAGUGAGCAAUGCACCGAACCCUGAUAACCGGCCUCAUGUCAUCGAAGAAUAUGAAAGGGAAGAGGGCCUUUGAGAACUCCAACCUUUGCAGACAUUAUAGCAGGUGAAAGUCUUUGCGAAUCAAUGCUACAGAGGCAAACAUAGUACAGGCAAUGCCAACCUGCCUGAAAUAUGCACCUAACCGCAAGGGAGGCAGUGGGAGGGCCAAUGAGUAAGGGAAUGGAAGAGCUAAAGAUGUUAAGAGCAUCAAGCCUGUUCCAACAGCACUUUUUUUUGUUUAUUAUACACUACCGUUCAAAAGUUAGGGGUCACUUAGAAAUGUCCUUGUUUUUGAAAGAUGGCUGAUUUAUGUUAAAUGGAACAUCUACAUAGGCUUACAAAGGCCCAUUAUCAGCAACCAUCACUCCUGUGUUCCAGGAGUGCCCGCAACACACUGCAUUGUUGACAAUCCCUGUUGAAUUCAUGGUGUGUUUUGAUCAAAUCAGAUCACAAUGUGUUCUUAACCUCACUCCAAUAUUUAAAUGUAGUUGAUUAUUAGUUGGGAACUGUUUUCAAACUUGAUAGUAAUGAAAUAAAAAUAACUAUUGGCUGUGUUUUUG